AUGGCACUUCAAACACAGUUCACAACUUACUUCACCACCAAAACACAUCACUCGUUCUCUCCCAACCUCACAGUGAGAUCUGAAAAACCAUCUGAACCGUCCAAUUCAGUACCCAGAAAAUCCGGGGUGGGUUUUGGUCCGUAUAAUGUGAACACUAAAAGGAAACAGAAGGGACAAAGAGAAAGAGGUUCGAUAAUUCAUCGUAAUCCAGUUGAAAAAUCGGCGUUAGUUAAGGAACAAGAACCGGUUCAACAGGAAUAG
This is a non-coding RNA of Vicia faba (fava bean), 261 nucleotides long. NCBI's taxonomy places the organism in Eukaryota, Viridiplantae, Streptophyta, Magnoliopsida, Fabales, Fabaceae. The record is from the annotation of a GenBank genome assembly.